Molecule: ribosomal RNA, 197 nt
Filed under: uncultured bacterium
Lineage: Bacteria
Description: partial 16S ribosomal RNA
Rfam family: Bacterial small subunit ribosomal RNA
Source: RNAcentral
ACUCCUACGGGAGGCAGCAGUAGGGAAUUUUCCACAAUGGACGAAAGUCUGAUGGAGCAACGCCGCGUGUGCGAAGAAGGCCUUCGGGUUGUAAAGCACUGUUGUAAGGGAAGAACAGGUGUGAGAGGAAAUGCUCAUGCUGUGACGGUACCUUACCAGAAAGCCACGGCUAACUACGUGCCAGCAGCCGCGGUAAU